UACGGGGGGGGCAAGCGUUGUCCGGAAUUAUUGGGCGUAAAGGGCGCGUAGGUGGGAAAGCAAGUCUGGGGUGCAAACUUGUGGCUUAACUGCAAGCUUGCCCUGGAAACUAUUUUUCUUGAAUUCGGGAGAGGGAAACGGAAUUCCUGGUGUAGCGGUGAAAUGCGUAGAUAUCAGGAAGAACACCGGUGGCGAAGGCGGUUUCCUGGCCCGAUAUUGACACUGAUGCGCGAAAGUGUGGGGAGCAAACAGGAUUAGAUACCCUGGUAGUCCACACAGUAAACGUUGGGCACUAGGUGUUGGUUCGUAAGGAUCAGCGCCGCAGCUAACGCAUUAAGUGCCCCGCCUGGGGAGUACGACCGCAAGGUUG
RNAcentral lists this ribosomal RNA (370 nucleotides) under uncultured prokaryote. RNAcentral describes it as "bacterial SSU rRNA". It matches the Rfam family "Bacterial small subunit ribosomal RNA", at positions 524 to 896 of the family's 1533-position model. The record is from RNAcentral.